This 404-nucleotide ribosomal RNA is filed under the name uncultured bacterium. RNAcentral's name for it is "bacterial SSU rRNA". It matches the Rfam family "Bacterial small subunit ribosomal RNA", at positions 355 to 774 of the family's 1533-position model. The record is from RNAcentral.
UGAGGGAUAUUGGGCAAUGGGCGCAAGCCUGACCCAGCGACGCCGCGUGGAGGACGACGGGCUUCGGCUCGUAAACUCCUUUUCCCGGGGACGAGACAAGGACGGUACCCGGGGAAUAAGUCUCGGCUAACUACGUGCCAGCAGCCGCGGUAAUACGUAGGGAGCAAGCGUUGUUCGGAUUUACUGGGCGUAAAGGGCGCGUAGGCGGCGCGGUAAGUCACUUGUGAAAUCUCUGAGCUUAACUCAGAACGGCCAAGUGAUACUGCUGUGCUAGAGUGCGGAAGAGGCAACCGGAAUUCUUGGUGUAGCGGUGAAAUGCGUAGAUAUCAAGAGGAACACCUGAGGCGAAGGCGGGUUGCUGGGCCGACACUGACGCUGAUGCGCGAAAGCCAGGGGAGCAAACG